This 254-nucleotide ribosomal RNA is filed under the name uncultured bacterium. RNAcentral's name for it is "partial 16S ribosomal RNA". It matches the Rfam family "Bacterial small subunit ribosomal RNA", at positions 524 to 776 of the family's 1533-position model. The record is from RNAcentral.
UACAGAGGUCCCGAGCGUUGUUCGGAUUCACUGGGCGUAAAGGGUGCGUAGGUGGUUGGGUAAGUUUGAUGUGAAAGCUCAGGGCUUAAGCCCUGAAAUGGCAUUGAAUACUACUUAACUGGAGGUUUGGAGGGGGGACUGGAAUUCUUGGUGUAGCAGUGAAAUGCGUAGAUAUCAAGAGGAACACCAGUGGCGAAGGCGAGUCCCUGGACAACACCUGACACUGAGGCACGAAAGCUAGGGGAGCAAACAGG